This 253-nucleotide ribosomal RNA is filed under the name uncultured bacterium. Its description in RNAcentral is "partial 16S ribosomal RNA". It matches the Rfam family "Bacterial small subunit ribosomal RNA", at positions 524 to 776 of the family's 1533-position model. The record is from RNAcentral.
UACAGAGGUCUCAAGCGUUGUUCGGAUUCAUUGGGCGUAAAGGGUGCGUAGGCGGCGCGGUAAGUCGGGUGUGAAAUCUCGGAGCUUAACUCCGAAACUGCAUUCGAUACUGCCGUGCUUGAGGACUGGAGAGGAGACUGGAAUUCUCGGUGUAGCAGUGAAAUGCGUAGAUAUCGAGAGGAACACCAGUGGCGAAGGCGAGUCCCUGGACAUCUCCUGACACUGAGGCACGAAAGCUAGGGGAGCAAACAGG